UCAAAGUGUUGUUUCUUACUGUGCUGCCCGACUUAUUCAGUACAGAAUAAGAUACUGCAAGUAGCUCUUUAGCAUCCAUUUGGAGGGAGGUGCAUCAAUUUGCCCUCUCUUUGUUCUUCCAUUCUAUUUGCAGACUAUAUAAUGGUCAGACCAAGGCAGAACUGAUUCAUGCAGAGAUGAAGAUUUCACUCCUGGAUGCUUAGAGCAGUGCCUAGUCAUGAAACCAGAAUCUGACUCUUGUAUGAUUCGUUCUCAAACUGGGACUGCAGGUGUGGUGUGUGGAGGAGCAGCUGAAUGAUCUCUGUAUGAAAAAGCAAUAGUCAGAUGACUAUGCCUCUCCGUGGCAGCAUGCAUCCACAGGAUCCCUGUGAAGAGUAAAACCUGGCUCAGCAUGUGACACAGAACCUUCAAACUAAAGGUGAGUUGCCACCGGAGGACCUCACUGCACAGGACCAAGAAUAACUAUGCU
Molecule: long non-coding RNA, 469 nt
Filed under: Cyanistes caeruleus (blue tit)
Lineage: Eukaryota; Metazoa; Chordata; Aves; Passeriformes; Paridae
Description: lncRNA (ENSCCEG00000014257.1)
Source: RNAcentral